GGUAAUCUGCUGUGGUCUUUUUCCACGGUUUGGAAGCUUUAUUUUUUUGCUCUUUGCAAUAAAUAUUGUUGCUGCUAAUUCUUUGAGUCCACACUGCUUUUGUGAGUUGUAGCACUCACCCGAAGGUUUGCAGCUUCACUCCUGAAGCCAGUGAGACCACGAACCCAACGAGAGGAACGAAGAAUUCCAGACGCGCUGCAUUAAGAGCUGUAACACUCACUGCGAAGGUCUGCAGCUUCACUUUUGAAGCCAGCAAGACCACGAACCCAUCAGAAGGAAGAAACUCCAAACACAUCCGAGCAGCAGAAGGAACAAACUCCGGACACGCUGCCUUUAAGAACUGUGACACUCAGAGCGAGGGUCUGCGGCAUCACAUUUGAAGUCAGUGAGACCAAGAACCCACCGAUUCCGGACGCGAGCAGGUUGCUUCAGGGUAUAGACAUUUGGCACAGUACUGCAGCAUAAACCCAUCAAGAUUAAGGAAACCAUGGGGGCCGAGCAUGGUGGUUCACACCUGUAAUCCCAGCACUUUGGAAGGUUGAGCUGAGUGGAACCCUCACUCAGGUGGCGCAUCAAGAUUGCUGCUUGUCAAUACAGACAACUGGGAUAACCGAGGCCUCUAAACCAGCCAGAACACUCACGGAUUCUGUAGUAGUCAGUCCUCAAGUUUGUUGGUGUGACCCUGAAGGCAGCGCUUCAUCCUCUAACUUACCUACGCAUCCACACUGGGCUCCAUAUGAAUGGCAGCUGGUCGUCUACUUCACAAUUUAACUUGGGAUCAAAUGUGCUCUUCUGGAAGCUGACUUUAAGGCAGGGAAUGUUCAGGGUAGCUGAAAUCUGCAGAAGCUGGCAGCCUGGGAGCAUGGUGCUUCAAUCCAGGGCUGGCCAGCAGCAGUGCUGUGAUGGGGGCCCAGGUGCUCUUUGGUGUCCUGAACCAUGAUUAUGUGUUUCUGUUGAGAGCUUAUUAUAUACCAGGCAUUGCACUGAGCAUUGUUCAUGGGUUCUCAGACUUAGUCUUCACAACAGUUCUGUGAGCAAUCAUCUAGAAUCAUUCUUGUUUGGAUGAGACACUGCAGUUCAUAAAGGUUAACUUCUCCUAAGUAAUAAGUGGUGGAGCUGGGCCUUGAGCCCAGGUGCUCUGAUGUUGUCUCUUAUCUUCCUUACUCUGUCAGAACUUGACUUCAGUAAUGGCGUUAGAGAGACAUAUUAGUGUCAGGUGUAAAUACCCACCGAGAGGCAGUGUGGUGCAGGGAUCGGGGACAUGGACUGUGGAGUCAGUCUAUCCAACACACGUGGGUUUGAUCCUGGCCCCAAACCUCCCCUGUGUGGAUGAAUAAAUGACCUAACUCUCCAA
This is a long non-coding RNA of Homo sapiens (human), 1354 nucleotides long. The record is from Ensembl. Lineage: Eukaryota; Metazoa; Chordata; Mammalia; Primates; Hominidae.